Molecule: ribosomal RNA, 789 nt
Filed under: uncultured archaeon
Lineage: Archaea
Description: bacterial SSU rRNA
Rfam family: Archaeal small subunit ribosomal RNA
Source: RNAcentral
UACGGCUCAGUAACACGUAGCUAACCCUACCUUAGGUCGUGGAUACCCUCGGGAAACUGAGGCUAAUACACGAUAGGAGAUAUACCCUGGAAUGAUAUAUCUUUCAAAUUCGAGCCCAAGGAUGGGGCUGCGGCGGAUUAGGUUGUUGGCGGGGUAAUAGCCCACCAAGCCGAAAAUCUGUAAGGGCUCUUAGCGGAGAGGCCCUGAGAGGGAAUCUGAGACACUAUUCCCAGCCCUACGGGGUGCAGCAGUUAGGAAUAAUCUACAAUGCGCGCAAGCGUGAUAGUUUGAGCCAGAGUGUUUCUCACACGAGAAACUUUUAUGUAAUGUAAAUAGUUACACGAAUAAGGACUGGGUAAGACUAGUGCCAGCCGCCGCGGUAAUACUAGCGGUCCAAGUCGCAGCCAUUUUUAUUGGGUCUAAAACAUCCGUAGCUUGCUUUGUAAGUUCCUUGUGAAAUCCUAUGUCUCAAGUAUAGGGCGUGCAAGGAGUACUGCAGAGCUAGAGACUGGAAGACGUGAGAAGUACGUUUAAAGUAGCGGUAAAAUGUUUUAAUCUUAAACGGACUCACAAUAGCGAAGGCAUCUCACGAGGACAGUUCUGACAGUAAGGGAUGAAGGCUAGGGGCGCAAAACGGAUUAGAUACCCGUGUAGUCCUAGCAGUAAACACUGCACACUAAACAUUAGUACCUCCUCGAGAGGUAUUGGUGCUGAAGGGAAGCCGAAGAGUGUGCUACCUGGGAAGUAUAGUCGCAAGGCCGAAACUUAAAGGAAUUGGCGGGGGAGCAC